UAGCUGCUCCAGCCUGGUACUCUGGCCCCACUCUCUUCUUCAUCUUCCUUCACCUUCUUUUUGACUCUGGAAAGCCUCCCCCAAAGCCCAGGACAAAGAUGACUUUUGGAAGAUUGCCCAAAACGAUAGCUAGAGUGUGCCCUGGGCUCUGGGAGAUGGAGGAGAGAGGCGACAGGAGGAGUCAAUGGUUUGCCCAGUGCUGCGGGGAGGCGCUUUGCACGCUCUAGAUCGCAAGCCAAACGUCUAGUGCCAAGAGCUGUCAGGCAAAAGACUGGUCAGCUGGAGAGACUUCUCGGGACGCGGAGAGGUAGAACAGGUUUGCAGAGCGCUGGCAACCUCGGUUGACACUAAGGAUCUAUUGCCCCGCGCGCGCGCGAUGCGUGAGCUGAAUUGGGAUGGAAGGGCCUGUUGAAGAGCCAGGGAAGCAGCGUUUAGGAGAGAGUUUUCCGAGGCCACGCCGUGACGGUCGACAUUAAUAUUAGUGGAAAGACGCGUGCCCCGCAGUAAGAUCAUGAAAAGGGAUCCAGGAAAUGAAAGAGGAGAGGCAAGAAGGUAAGAAACACCCACGCGUUCCUCAGAAAUUGCGUGGGGAUGGGUGUCUUUAGUGGUUCAGGACUGUCAAGCUGACUCUGAGACUAUAGAAGAGACCACGCUAAUGCAACCCUCUACAACGGCAUCCUUAAACCCAGCAGAGCGGAAAGCUAAUGCCCUUUCCUUUCCGCCCGGAUGCAAGACUGGAUGGAAGGCAUCCAACAUGAUGAAAUACGGUGCAGAAGAAUGGUCUGGGCAGAAGGAGCGCUGGGUACUAAAGUUGCAUGACCAAAGAGAUCCGAGAGCUGUCUGCCACACCCCCUUCCUGCCUGGUUCCCUUUCUGACUGCCCUGGUCGCUCCCUUGGACUAUGAUGAACACGACUGCAGCGCCCCCUGCUGUGGGGAAGCUACAGGGCACAGAAAACACGUCCUUGCAGGGCUGACUUCCAACUUCCCCUUUUGCACCUAACCAGCAAGCUCUUCAAAGAUAAUAAGGAAAGUGGACUCCCUGGGUAUGUGGCAGCGAUCUGAAAAGUUUGAACGCCUGCAGAAUAAGGAUGUCUGACUUCACAAAGAAAUCGUUUGGAAACUGACAAAUAUUUUACAACUUCAAAAGUAUUUAAAACUUAGCCUGCAAAAUAAAAACAUCUUCAUAAAAGUUAUGAAGACCCCGUUCUAAAGUAUACAAGCUAAAGAACUGAUUAUGUACCACAAAAGCUGUGAAGCUGAGAUCUUAAUUUUCUUGGCACUGGGUUGCAGCCCUUGGGUUGAAGAGAGCAAACGGCUGCUGAGGGCCAUGGCCAUGCACAAGGAACAACAAAUGGUCUUAAAACUCAUGGAAUGUUGUCCACUGGUUACCACAGCCACGCUGGAUUUUCCUCGGCUGGUGCUUAACACUCUCAGAGAAGUGAGCCUAGACCGCGGUACGUUUCUCCAAAUGCAAAGUCAAACGUGUUCAAAGAUGAUCUGGGACAUACUAAAAUGCCUUUAAGAAGAUUAAAUGUUUAUAUUCUACCAAGCUUUUCAUAAGAACACUACAAACAUUUCUAAAUUAUAAACCUCUGCUUAGAACUUUGUUAUUAAUUACAUUGAGUAGGAAAAUGCAUUAGAACAUCUGUAAAGAUUGUCUUUUUUUUUUUAAUGCAACCAUUGUUCUGAAUUGUUGAGGUGAAAAUAAAGAUGUUUUGUUGCUUUGA
RNAcentral lists this long non-coding RNA (1728 nucleotides) under Mus musculus (house mouse). RNAcentral describes it as "predicted gene 15663". The record is from RNAcentral. Lineage: Eukaryota; Metazoa; Chordata; Mammalia; Rodentia; Muridae.